UACGGAGGGUGCAAGCGUUAUCCGGAUUUACUGGGUUUAAAGGGUGUGUAGGCGGGCUAUUAAGUCAGUGGUGAAAUGCUCUUGCUUAACGAGAGAACUGCCGUUGAUACUAAUAGUCUUGAAUGUUGUUGAGGUGGGCGGAAUACAUCAUGUAGCGGUGAAAUGCAUAGAUAUGAUGUAGAACACCAAUUGCGAAGGCAGCUCACUAAACAAAGAUUGACGCUGAGGCACGAAAGCGUGGGGAUCAAACAGG
Molecule: ribosomal RNA, 253 nt
Filed under: uncultured bacterium
Lineage: Bacteria
Description: partial 16S ribosomal RNA
Rfam family: Bacterial small subunit ribosomal RNA
Source: RNAcentral